AUACGUAGGGUGCGAGCGUUGUCCGGAAUUACUGGGCGUAAAGAGCUCGUAGGUGGUUUGUCGCGUCGUCUGUGAAAUUCCGGGGCUUAACUCCGGGCGUGCAGGCGAUACGGGCAUAACUUGAGUACUGUAGGGGAGACUGGAAUUCCUGGUGUAGCGGUGAAAUGCGCAGAUAUCAGGAGGAACACCGGUGGCGAAGGCGGGUCUCUGGGCGGUAACUGACGCUGAGGAGCGAAAGCAUGGGUAGCGAACAGGAUUAGAUACCCUGGUAGUCCAUGCCGUAAACGGUGGGCGCUAGGUGUAGGGGUCUUCCACGACUUCUGUGCCGUAGCUAACGCAUUAAGCGCCCCGCCUGGGGAGUACGGCCGCAAGGCUAAAACUCAAAUGAAUUGACGGGG
This 398-nucleotide ribosomal RNA is filed under the name uncultured bacterium. Its description in RNAcentral is "partial 16S ribosomal RNA". It matches the Rfam family "Bacterial small subunit ribosomal RNA", at positions 523 to 918 of the family's 1533-position model. The record is from RNAcentral.